This 467-nucleotide ribosomal RNA is filed under the name uncultured bacterium. Its description in RNAcentral is "partial 16S ribosomal RNA". It matches the Rfam family "Bacterial small subunit ribosomal RNA", at positions 28 to 507 of the family's 1533-position model. The record is from RNAcentral.
GACGAACGCUGGCGGCGUGCUUAACACAUGCAAGUCGAACGGAGAGGCCUCUUUCGGGGGGUACUCGAGUGGCGAACGGGUGAGUAACACGUGAGUAACCUGCCCUUGACUUUGGGAUAACUUCAGGAAACUGGGGCUAAUACCGGAUAGGAGCUCCUGCUGCAUGGUGGGGGUUGGAAAGUUUCGGCGGUUGGGGAUGGACUCGCGGCUUAUCAGCUUGUUGGUGGGGUAGUGGCUUACCAAGGCUUUGACGGGUAGCCGGCCUGAGAGGGUGACCGGCCACAUUGGGACUGAGAUACGGCCCAGACUCCUACGGGAGGCAGCAGUGGGGAAUAUUGCACAAUGGGUGGAAGCCUGAUGCAGCAACGCCGUGUGCGGGAUGACGGCCUUCGGGUUGUAAACCGCUUUCGCUCAUGACGAAGCUUUGUGUGACGGUAGUGAGUAAAGAAGCACCGGCUAACUACGUG